This 253-nucleotide ribosomal RNA is filed under the name uncultured bacterium. Its description in RNAcentral is "partial 16S ribosomal RNA". It matches the Rfam family "Bacterial small subunit ribosomal RNA", at positions 524 to 776 of the family's 1533-position model. The record is from RNAcentral.
UACAGAGGGGGCAAGCGUUGUUCGGAAUUACUGGGCGUAAAGGGCGCGUAGGCGGCCUUCUAAGUCGAACGUGAAAUCCCCGGGCUCAACCCGGGAACUGCGUCCGAUACUGGAAGGCUUGAAUCCGGGAGAGGGAUGCGGAAUUCCAGGUGUAGCGGUGAAAUGCGUAGAUAUCUGGAGGAACACCGGUGGCGAAGGCGGCAAACUGGAUAGGCACUGACACUCAACAACGAAAGCGUGGGGAGCAAACAGG